This 3489-nucleotide ribosomal RNA is filed under the name Triticum aestivum (bread wheat). RNAcentral's name for it is "partial small subunit ribosomal RNA". The record is from RNAcentral. Lineage: Eukaryota; Viridiplantae; Streptophyta; Magnoliopsida; Poales; Poaceae.
AUGGUGUUCGCGGUCGUCGGUGGUGCUCGCCAGAUGGGAGCGGCUUCGCCGGAGCGCCUGCAAAUUGAAGCAGAAUGGCUCGUGGUGAUCAUAAAAAUGAUGAUGAUGAUUUCAUGGAUCCACCACAGCAGAAUCGGGCAACUGGACGGAGAAAAGAGGGCGAUGAGAGCCUCCCAAGAACGACUGACUACAUUGACUGACAGAUUUACCGACGAUCAGAAGGGAGCUGCUGCUGAGAUGGGUAUGCAGGCUGUGAUCAAUGUCCGGUGCGUGAACCUUGUCGACCCUGUAUGCGACUGGCUUGGUGAGAUUUACGACCCCGCCUCUAGGGAAUUUGUGAUUCCGGGACGUGGAAGACUACCGUUGAACGAGGAAUCCGUGUUCUGCACUUUGGGUGUGCCUCGUGGACAUAUCAAAGUCCCGUACGAGGUCAAUAACGAGAUCGAGGAAGCGUUGUUCCCCCGUUUGUUUCCUGGGUUGGAAUCCAUGCCGAACACGUCUGUACUGGCAGAUUCGCUGCAGGCCAUGACAACCCAUGGAGAUGUUUUUAAGAUGAAGCUACUCAUGUACCUCAUCUCAGCUGUUUUCGCGCCGACCACUUCUCUUCGCCCAAGCAACAAAUGCUUCCCCAUCCUGGCGGAACUGAAAAAUGUGAAGAACAUGAAUUGGUGUAAGUUUAUUGCCGACUUCCUGCACGAUGCAUUCUCAAGCAAGAUGUACCAAAAGGGUUGUCGACUGCAUUUAAUGCUCAUGUACGUCGACUGUCUUGAUCUGUCCAUCGUGGAUUUCACUGGGACAGGAGACCCGCCGCCUACGCACAAGUUUGCUGUUUCUCCGUGGGCUAUCAACGCUGUCAAGGCUGUGCUUGCCACAAACAGGGUAACUAAUACCAAAUAUGGAAAACUGCAGCUGAUGGCCAAGCAUGCUAUAGACUACAACGUGUUUGGGGGGCCUCAAAACUUUGGAAAGUGGAUGGACGUGCACUCAGCUCCGUCUUGCCCUACUGAGGCGAGGGCACCUGUUGAGCAUCUAAUUAGGCAGUUUGCAUCCGGAAUGACCGGCUUGCUUGGGAAGUUGGUUGAGGGGUGGACGUCCCUCAGUGGCUCUGACAACGACGCGGUUGCGAGGCAGUUCACUUCAUUUGUCCUAGAACGUACACAUCGACCAACUGGUUGGCGUGGCCGGUAUGACUACAACAGUUCCCAAGAGCUUGCUGGCACACAAGAUGAACUAGAUGGAGACGCUGGUCUCAGCAAGGAUGACGACGAUGACAUGGAGAACGUGCAACAGGACACUGAUGAUGAUAAACAUGCCGAAGUUCGUGCAGGUGGUAACAAGGGCAAGGAUGCACCAGAUGUCCCCCCACCGGAGAAAGUCAAAGAAUAUAUGACUGCGAGAGGCGAGGGGGUGUUUCCAUCAAAGAGGGGGAGGGCUCUAGAGGAUGUUGGGCAGGGUUCUCCUGGCAAGAGGGUGAAGAAGACUACUACACGUGGGGCCAAGCAUAUCAGUAAGGACCUACUCAAACGCCUUCAUUCAAAGUUGUCAACAGGGGGCAACUCAGAUGUUCAUGAGGCGCUAGGCGACAAAACUGCAACUGCACCGUCAACUGCUCCCACUAACUCUGACGCAAGUGGCCAACCAUCUCCGCCGGUUGCAGAUGUGCAGGCUAGAACAACAGGCAUCCAUACAUCAGGGAGUGACGAGUCGCUAUAUGCCAGGACAGCUGAAAUAUUGCCAACUCUUCUGGCAAUGAAGGAUGCUGCUGUGAGCCAUGCCAUCCCAUCAGCAAGCGUUGAAGUGGACGCUCCCGAGGCCAACCUAAGCAAGGAAAAUUCCCACUCAUCUGACACUGAUUCCAAGCGCGUGCGUGGUGGCACUCCUGUGUCCACGACAGAAGUGGCUGAGGCGGCAGUUCACAAUGAUAUGCCAUCUAUAGGUGAGAGUCUUGGGACAACAGCUCCAGCUCCUCCCCGCAAGCAAUCAAUAGUCAUACCCAAUGCACCAGCUGUAGCUAGGAGCAGCAGAGACGAGUCUGGUUAUGUUCCUGUGUCCACACUAUUCCCGCCACCUGCCAAAAGAAAUGUGAUGGAGAAACCGGAAGACUGGAGCACAACUGAUGCAGGUGUCAAGCCGGGCACGAGUGACGUAGGUGAACGUCCGGAGCAGACUGCGCCUUUACCCGCAGUGGAAAUCCCCAGCUUAAAUCUGCGCACUUCCAGGCUCCCAGUCAAUCUGGGUGUCCCAUACAGCCCAAACAAGAAGAUUAUCAAGAAAGCUGCGGCUGAUACUGCUGACAACACGCCCCGCCCUACAAAUAAGCCCGAUCAUUCUGUAGCGGCCGAUUCAGAUAUGUUUGUUGAUCUUUCACCCUUGGAUUCUGCCCCGCAAGUUGUUCGUGGUCCGGCCAGUAGGCAUGAGAGGCACCCAAUGGCCUUCACCCCACCGAGCUUUAGUCUUGGUAUAAGUCAAGAUCAACCAGUGGUGCCAGAUCCUAUGCCAGUUGUCUUUGCUUUCCCAGGAGGCAUGCCCGCAAUGAUGGCGCAGCCAAUGGUCGAGGGCAGGAAGGCUGUCAAGUUCGCUGAGCCGAUAGUCCAAGCCACCCCUGAGGAGAUUUCACCGUCACUUGAUGAAGCUUACCGCAGGAUCGAGGAGGCAGCAUUGCAGAGGAGGUCCUCACGAUGGCAGGGGCAAUCAAGUUCCAACGUGCCUGCAAAUACGGUAUCUGAGGAUACCAUUAGGAGUGCCACCCCUGGUUCUGUGAGAACCAAGGUCAUUCAAUACGAAGCGACGUACGUCGACCUGGGUGAUCUUGCCGAGUCUAUGAGGCCAAACGGUAAAAUGUCGACGAAUGUAGUUGCAUGCGGGAUUGACUACAUCAACAAUCAUACGGAUGUGUGUGCCGACAAAAUAAUCAUGCAUUACAGUGUGACCUGCAAAAUAUGGGAUGGUGACUUCCACCACAAAAUACCGAGGAAGAAUUUUGCUCAACACGGUGAAUUCAAGCUCACACUGAAGAAAUAUGUCAUGUUCCCUAUGUUCCAGGAGCUUGCACCACACGACCCAAACGACAAGUGUGGUCACCACUAUGCGAUCUGUCUUGACCUGAAGAACCAACGCUUUGAGGUGCUUGAUUCAAUGUGUUCGACACCUGAUGCAGACCUUACUUCGCAUGCUGAAUUCUUCAUCAACAAUGUCAAAGAGACAUGGAACCGUCACUACGAAAACUCAAAGGUCCAGAUCAGACAUUUCCCGGUUGAGUACGUGGCGACUACGAAUCAAGGGAACACGACAGACUGUGGCUUUCACACGUUGAAAUACUUUGCAAAGUGGGAAGGUAGACUUGUCCCCGCUGUCACAGCUGCAACGGUCGUCAAGCUCCGGAAAAUUUACACAUGGAACUGGUUGACGAAUGAAGAUUUCAACAAGCGGUCCGGAUUAUGCGAGUUCGUGGAGGAACCUGUCAAGAAAGUCAUCAAGAAGUACAAGUGA